AGUGAACGCUGGCGGUAGGCCUAACACAUGCAAGUCGAACGGCAGCACAGUAAGAGCUUGCUCUUACGGGUGGCGAGUGGCGGACGGGUGAGGAAUACAUCGGAAUCUACUUUUUCGUGGGGGAUAACGUAGGGAAACUUACGCUAAUACCGCAUACGACCUACGGGUGAAAGCAGUGGAUCUUCGGACCUUGCGCGAAUGAAUGAGCCGAUGUCGGAUUAGCUAGUUGGCGGGGUAAUGGCCCACCAAGGGGACGAUCCGUAGCUGGUCUGAGAGGAUGAUCACCCACACUGGAGCUGAGACACGGUCCAGACGCCUACGGGAGGCAGCAGUGGGGAAUAUUGGACAACGGGCGCAAGCCUGAUCCAGCCAUACCGAGUGGGUGAAGACGGCCUUCGGGUUGGAAAGCCCGUUUGUUGGGAAAGAAAAGCAGCAGGUUAAGACCCCGCUGUUCUGACGGUAACCAAAGAAUAAGCACCGGCUAACUUCGUG
RNAcentral lists this ribosomal RNA (492 nucleotides) under uncultured bacterium. RNAcentral's name for it is "partial 16S ribosomal RNA". It matches the Rfam family "Bacterial small subunit ribosomal RNA", at positions 29 to 507 of the family's 1533-position model. The record is from RNAcentral.